This 532-nucleotide unclassified non-coding RNA is filed under the name Hevea brasiliensis (rubber tree). The record is from RNAcentral. Lineage: Eukaryota; Viridiplantae; Streptophyta; Magnoliopsida; Malpighiales; Euphorbiaceae.
GCCUCUUCAGCAGCCUUCUGUGCUUGUUUCAGUUCAUCAAUUGCUUGUGCCUUUUCUUUCUCAAUCAACCCUAUCUGCUCCUUUGCUUUCUUCAGAUCUUCCUGAACAAGACUCAAUUGAGCCUGCAAUUCUGAUCCCUUCACCACCCUUGUCUGUGGUUUUUCAGGUGGUGGAGUGACCUUUGUUGACCGUCGAUCAAUUGUAGGCUUUGAAGUAACAGAUCGUGGGGAACGAUCAAUUGAAAGGCGUGAACUCUGCAGAGAAGCAGGUGAAUCAGGCUCUGAUUUAGUGCCUCCCCUGCUCAGUUUACUCACUCUAGGAGUUGCUGGUGAUGCUUUGUUGGUCUUGGAAGACAUGUUUGUUCUUGACGAUGAUGACAUAGAAGAGAAAUGAAAAAUGGGAAAAGAGUUGAAAAUGUGCGAGUUCAGGUAAAUGAGGAUACGGGUUCUCUAUCGAAUGCUAAAAUGCUGACAUAGUGUAAGAGAAUGUAGUUUGGCUGUUCCCUUUCCUUUCUUUUCUUUUCUUUUCUUUU